UCUUGACUCACCUAACCUUUACUAGAAUCGGUAGAGCGUGAGACUCUUACAGCACGUAAUGGCAUCUCAAGGUUGGGGGUUCGAGCCCCCCGUCGGGCU
Non-coding RNA from Venturia effusa, 99 nucleotides. The record is from the annotation of a GenBank genome assembly. NCBI's taxonomy places the organism in Eukaryota, Fungi, Ascomycota, Dothideomycetes, Venturiales, Venturiaceae.